Molecule: long non-coding RNA, 1488 nt
Filed under: Anas platyrhynchos platyrhynchos (common mallard)
Lineage: Eukaryota; Metazoa; Chordata; Aves; Anseriformes; Anatidae
Description: lncRNA (ENSAPLG00000029399.1)
Source: RNAcentral
GUCUUCCUAGGUCUUGUCUUGUGCCCUUCUUGUAGAUCAGUAUAACAUCGGCUAGUUUCCAGUCAGCAAGGAAAGCCUUUUUUAUUUUCUGACACCACACUGGCCACUGUCAUCUCAGGCUGAGCUUUGUUUUCUUCUUGUUUUCUCCCUGCAAAUGUGAACUGCACUCUCUCUGUGAAGCCUGACCUUGUUUCCAAAGAUCAUACAUUUUAUUUUUCUGCCCUAGUUUCAGGAGGUGUUCCCUGUUCAGCCAGGCUGGUCUUCUGCCCUGCUUGCUUGACUCGUGACACAAUGGAAUUGCCAUUACAUUAUGGAUUGCAUUAGUAAAUAUUUCACUAUUUCAUUAUAUUUCUUCAUUUUAAAGCCUGAUUCUUUCUUUCCUCUGUAGAAAAUGAGGAUUCUUUCUUUCCUCUGUCUCUAAAUGGGCAUUAUCUAGUGAGACUUUGCAGUCAUUUGGUUGAUAUGCCAUGGAGUAGGUCAAAGAGCAGGGCUCAGUCACAUCUACAUAGUGUUUACACUAGACUAACUUCUCUAACUUCUCAAUGAGACAUGUAAUGUUAGAGUGGUUGCCUCUGCUUUGAAACUAGCUUCAGAUCCUUUCUGGUUUGUCAUAGACACUUUCCUUUCUGACUCUUGUAAAGACAGAUCUCAAAUGCUGCUUCUUUGUAGACACGGACUGCUCCUAUCUGGAUUUGCUUAUACAGUGCACUGUGAGACUCAUAAGAUUGGAUUUAGGAAUCUAUACCUUUCCAAAGAGUGCAAAGAAAAUAAGAAGUACCUCUACUGAACUAUGAGGAAGUUUUCAUCAACAGCUAAUGCCUAGAGCUCUGCUUUUGAUUUUUCUUUUGCACAUAAAGGUAAGCAAAGUUCUCCAGUCUGUCUCAUUACACAGCAUUAAAAAUUCUUGAUGUUGAAACACCUUUACAGUAGAGACAAGUGCUUUCUUUCAAAUUUUAUGUUUCCAGAAGCAGAAGAUGAUUGACAGUGAGUGCAAAACAGCCAACACAGGGAGUGAGCUUCCUCAAGUCUUCUGCAGCCCAAAAGAUUUCCUCUGGAAGCCUCACUAGGAGAGGUAGGUGCUGCUGGCUUGGUCUGUAUUGUCCAAACUCUGUAAGCUAUAAACUGGAGCCUGAAUUGUGUUGGAAUUGAAAUUUCCUCAGCACCAAAACUGCUAUUUCUGAAUGUAGCCAGGUUGCUUUCUGAAAUGUGAAGGAGAGAAUGGAAUUUCUGAAAAGCAUGCCAACUCCCCUUGGAGGUGUGAGGCAGCUGAUGGCAAUUUGACAGAGCCCCUGGUAUGGGCCAGCAGGUAACUCUGCCCACACCACAGGUAGUACCCAGGUGCCUGCCUCUGGGGGUCAAGCCUCUCAGAGAGCCUGGAGCCUAAAUUGGGAGCACCUCAAGCACUCAGGCUAGCACCUUGUCUGGCCAGGAAGUAGCUUUUGUACCUGCAGUAAAUAAAGCAACAGACAGACAAAAUGCUUUCCUGCA